Molecule: long non-coding RNA, 257 nt
Filed under: Lathyrus oleraceus (garden pea)
Lineage: Eukaryota; Viridiplantae; Streptophyta; Magnoliopsida; Fabales; Fabaceae
Description: Pisum sativum (pea) long non-coding RNA (PSAT_LNC008317)
Source: RNAcentral
UGGGUUCAAACAUUAAUAUGUGAUUAAAAAUAAAUAAACAUGGGUCUAACGCCCAAUUCCAACCUACUUAAAACCUAAAACAAACUCUAAAAUAAAUAAAAAUGAUAACAUAAAAUAGUAGGAGAAAACAAGUGAUAAAUAAAAGUAAAUAUAGCAUAUGAAAUACUGUAAAUGAGAGUAAGGACGGUACACCUCCUGUUCCAAAACUUUUGAAUUUCAAAAUGCCAUGUGACCAUAAAGAAUAUUAAAAAAAAAAA